GUGCGACGGCCACAAAACUGCGUGCGGGACACGCGACUGGCAGCAUUGGCUCGAGUGCGAUUCAAGUGGUCGACUCUACGAACGACAACGAUUUUCAUUUGCACGUCACCUGGAGUUGAUCUAUUAAAGAAGUGCAACCAUGUUCCUGUCCCUGCUGUGUCUUCUGUGCUCUGCCCUCCUGUUGCACGGUCAGGCGGACGCUCAGCAGAGAUGGCAACCCCGUUGCCGAGCCUUGUGUAACAGCGAUUACGGCGGCUACUCUUGGGCCACCUGCCAAAGAUGCAGGCUCCGCAUCCCGUUGCGAUUCGGCAAGAGGGACCAUCUGCCGACAUCGGGAGAUAGUGGAGUCCGCUCCUUCGUCGUCGAUCAUCCAGACGUCAUCGACGACGGAGUCCAAGGCGACCUCUACUCUCCGACGUCUCUCGCUGACCGUUUCGGGUUCCUCAGGAAGAAGAGAAGUGUCGCGCAGUGAACGUCUUUCUGUUGUCCUCGCGGUUAGUCUUCUAUGGUCGUUCGGAAUCCGCGAACUUCGCGAACGCAAUCAGUAGACAUAAUUCUGCUUGUCGACAACAAAAGGUUGAACCUGAAAAGAACUCUCGGCGAAGCUUUCGUUUUGCCCGCAAUAAAAGUCGCGAAACGAGGCGCGAGUUUAUUUAUUUUAUUUAUUGUUUUACGACCGUGCUGCGUGGCACACGGGAACCUGAAGGCGCGUCAGCUUUCGGAAUUACGCCACAAAAAAAAAAAUAUGGCUACGCAAGAAAUUGUCAUUUCGGAAGCCAAGUAAAAUAUUUACUGUCGUCCGUUGAACGCGCGUCAGUAUUUCACUGUACAAACCACUAUGUAAGAUUUUAUGCGAAUCAUGUUGCAUGCGAUAAUAUUUAUUUGCACACCUGUUUAUGAAAGCCAUCUUCGGCAGUCCACAUGAUGUUAUCUUCCUGUGGUGAAAUAAAAGGAGUCUGCAGGG
Molecule: long non-coding RNA, 964 nt
Organism: Ornithodoros turicata
Lineage: Eukaryota; Metazoa; Arthropoda; Arachnida; Ixodida; Argasidae
Exons: 3
Source: RefSeq, a predicted model, not a curated record